RNAcentral lists this ribosomal RNA (253 nucleotides) under uncultured bacterium. Its description in RNAcentral is "partial 16S ribosomal RNA". It matches the Rfam family "Bacterial small subunit ribosomal RNA", at positions 524 to 776 of the family's 1533-position model. The record is from RNAcentral.
UACGGAGGGUGCGAGCGUUGACCGGAAUUACUGGGCGUAAAGGGUGCGUAGGUGGUUGAUUAAGUUAUCUGUGAAAUUCCUGGGCUUAACCUGGGACGGUCAGAUUAUACUGGGUGACUCGAGUAUGGGAGAGGGUAGUGGAAUUUCCGGUGUAGCGGUGAAAUGCGUAGAGAUCGGAAGGAACACCAGUGGCGAAGGCGGCUACCUGGCCUAAUACUGACGCUGAGGCGCGAAAGCGUGGGGAGCAAACAGG